GGAGAGCUAGUCCUAAUUGGUAAGGCGUCGGUCUUGAAAACCGAUGGGCGAAAGCCCUUGGGAGUUCGAGUCUCCCGCUCUCCG
RNAcentral lists this transfer RNA (84 nucleotides) under bacterium. RNAcentral describes it as "tRNA-Ser". It matches the Rfam family "tRNA". From Rfam's summary of the family: Transfer RNA (tRNA) molecules are approximately 80 nucleotides in length. Their secondary structure includes four short double-helical elements and three loops (D, anti-codon, and T loops). The record is from RNAcentral.